This 477-nucleotide ribosomal RNA is filed under the name uncultured beta proteobacterium. RNAcentral's name for it is "bacterial SSU rRNA". It matches the Rfam family "Bacterial small subunit ribosomal RNA", at positions 8 to 489 of the family's 1533-position model. Lineage: Bacteria; Pseudomonadati; Pseudomonadota; Betaproteobacteria. The record is from RNAcentral.
AGAGUUGAUCCUGGCUCAGAUUGAACGCUGGCGGCAUGCCUUACACAUGCAAGUCGAACGGUAACAGGUUAAGCUGACGAGUGGCGAACGGGUGAGUAAUGUAUCGGAACGUGCCCAGUCGUGGGGGAUAACUGCUCGAAAGAGCAGCUAAUACCGCAUACGACCUGAGGGUGAAAGCGGGGGAUCGCAAGACCUCGCGCGAUUGGAGCGGCCGAUAUCAGAUUAGGUAGUUGGUGGGGUAAAAGCCUACCAAGCCAACGAUCUGUAGCUGGUCUGAGAGGACGACCAGCCACACUGGGACUGAGACACGGCCCAGACUCCUACGGGAGGCAGCAGUGGGGAAUUUUGGACAAUGGACGCAAGUCUGAUCCAGCCAUGCCGCGUGCGGGAAGAAGGCCUUCGGGUUGUAAACCGCUUUUGUCAGGGAAGAAAAGGUUCUGGUUAAUACCUGGGACUCAUGACGGACCUGAAGAAUAG